RNAcentral lists this ribosomal RNA (434 nucleotides) under uncultured bacterium. RNAcentral describes it as "partial 16S ribosomal RNA". It matches the Rfam family "Bacterial small subunit ribosomal RNA", at positions 29 to 507 of the family's 1533-position model. The record is from RNAcentral.
AGCGAACGCUGGCGGCAGGCCUAACACAUGCAAGUCGAACGAACCUUUCGGGGUUAGUGGCGGACGGGUGAGUAACACGUGGGAACGUGCCUUUAGGUUCGGAAUAACUCAGGGAAACUUGUGCUAAUACCGAAUGUGCCCUUCGGGGGAAAGAUUAAUCGCCUUUAGAGCGGCCCGCGUCUGAUUAGCUAGUUGGUUGAGGUAAUGGCUCACCAAGGCGACGUUCAGUAGCUGGUCUGAGAGGAUGAUCAGCCACAUUGGGACUGAGACACGGCCCAAACUCCUACGGGAGGCAGCAGUGGGGAAUCUAGCGCAAUGGGCGAAAGCCUGACGCAGCCAUGCCGCGAGAAUGAUGAAGGUCUUAGGAUUGUAAAAUUCUUUCACGGGGGACGAUAAUGACGGUACCCGGAGAAGAAGCCCCGGCUAAGUUCGUG